CCUACGGGAGGCAGCAGUAGGGAAUCUUGCGCAAUGGGCGAAAGCCUGACGCAGCCAUGCCGCGUGAAUGAUGAAGGUCUUAGGAUUGUAAAAUUCUUUCACCGGGGACGAUAAUGACGGUACCCGGAGAAGAAGCUCCGGCUAACUUCGUGCCAGCAGCCGCGGUAAU
This 169-nucleotide ribosomal RNA is filed under the name uncultured bacterium. RNAcentral describes it as "partial 16S ribosomal RNA". It matches the Rfam family "Bacterial small subunit ribosomal RNA", at positions 338 to 524 of the family's 1533-position model. The record is from RNAcentral.